UCAGGUGGUUAUAGCGACGGGGCUCCACCUCUUCCCAUUCCGAACAGAGAAGUUAAGCCCGUUAGCGCCGAUGGUACUGCGUACAGUGGGAGAGUAGGUCGCCGCCCAUC
Ribosomal RNA from Saccharicrinis fermentans, 110 nucleotides. The record is from Rfam. Lineage: Bacteria; Pseudomonadati; Bacteroidota; Bacteroidia; Marinilabiliales; Marinilabiliaceae.